AUUUUAACCUCUCUUAGAAAACUUCCAUGAGAGUUGUUGUGAAAUAGAGCUACACCUAAUAUCAUCAUUUCCAUACAAGUUGAGGCUUGAAAUGGAGAAUUGAAGGCAUCAACAACCACUUUAGAAUCUAAAGAGAAGAUAACAUGUGUGAAGCCAAGUUCUCCAUCGCUGCCAGUAAACUACAAACAACUCGUACAUGAUAAAAUCAGGCCUUCUUGAACCAAUGAAACAAGAAGCUGCAAAUCAACAAUGGAAAAACUUAGACAAGCUAAACCAGGGAAAAGAGAGGGGACUUAUGAUGACAAAAGCAUAGAACACACACAACACAUGAAAAGGAAGGAAAAGGAGUCCUAUAUAGAAUUGCACUGCGCCAAGAAAGAUAGAGGUAAUAGAUGAAGUGACGUGAACAGGUUUAGGAUCACAGAAUCGUAUCUCUAUGGGCCAGGGAAUGAAUUCAGCUGUAGCAACUUUGUUCCGGACUAAAACCAAUCAAGCACAACCCAAGUAUAUAUAAAUGCCUUUCAUACCAAGAAAACAGAAGAUUGGGAUAUCAUUUUAUAUAAUUGCACUAUCAGGAUGGUCCUCCAAAUGGCAUUUCAUCUUUUAAUUCCCAGCAGUAACUACUAUUUGAAACAUAUGAAGUUAAAGAUAACUGCUUGUCUUUAAUGCUAAAUUUUUUUGUUAUCAUACUGUAUUCAUUUAAGAAUGAUAAGAAAAUGAAUAAAUGAAA
Long non-coding RNA from Cicer arietinum (chickpea), 730 nucleotides. RefSeq lists it as uncharacterized. Lineage: Eukaryota; Viridiplantae; Streptophyta; Magnoliopsida; Fabales; Fabaceae. The record is from RefSeq and is a predicted model, not a curated record.